This 2557-nucleotide unclassified non-coding RNA is filed under the name Hevea brasiliensis (rubber tree). Lineage: Eukaryota; Viridiplantae; Streptophyta; Magnoliopsida; Malpighiales; Euphorbiaceae. The record is from RNAcentral.
UUCCUUUCUUCUUUAGCAAACUUACUACAUAUCUUGAUAUUUUCCAAAUUUCUUAAGGUCUAUCAGGGACAAUGGAACAUCUGGAGAAGCAUCUACCUCUUUCUUGAUAAGCUUUAGCUACCCAAAUUAAUACUAAAAUCAUCAUAAAGACUGAAAGAGAGAACAUCGAUGACCAUAACAUUCGAAUCGAAGCUUUAAAUGACUUGCACUGGUGCUUAACAACAUCAGAGAAAGCAGUCUUGACAACAAUGCAUCUUGCCAAGCUCUCUAAAUCUGGAUAUAUACUUAACAUAUUCUGAACAGAACGACUGUAAGCCAAAGCCAUGUUAGAAAUGCUCUCAGGAAUAAUCUUUCCUUCUCUUGUGCAUGUUUCAGGGGAAUUAUCUUGGUAACAUGUGAGUCUUGAAAGGAUCUACAGAUGAUUUUUCACACAAAAGGUAAGCUAAUUAGGGAAAUUUUAACAAAUCUUUUAUGUAAUAGUAUCACUGAACAAAUGCUACUUACAUAACAAAUUUAUCCCAUUCAAUGUGACAUCAUGUACUCAUCCAUGAAUUUUUGUACCAUGUCAGGGAAGAUUACCAAAGCAUUACAAAAAUGGCAGAACAUGUAGUACUAUAAAUAGUUAAUAACCAAUUCAAGGAUUCUGUAUUUCAGACCAUUACCCAUAUAUACUGAAAUGCAACUUACAUUUGGAAUAUCCUGGAUUGAAAUGCUAUCCUUUGAGCAGCUCUCAGGGAUGUAUGUAUAAUUUGGUGGUCCUGAGAAAGGGUCACAUAUCUUCUUAACUCCUACUAAAUCCAUAAUGUUUCCCUCUGACGGAAGCAACACAUAUAAUUCUUCCAUUUUCCAGUUCAACUGGGAAAAAAAAGGGUAUUGCAAUUGGAGAAAAGAUCAAAGUAUAUAUAAGAGCUCUCACACUUUCAUCUAGAUAAUUGAUAAAUCAAUUUAGUACCUUAGAAACAAAAUUAUGGAUGGUGCUGCCAAUUUCUAUCAGGAGCUGAUCUGAAGAUGAUGAAUCCAUGCAAGGUAUCAUGGAGCUCAGACUACAAUUCUGGGGGUCUUGUUCGAAAUCCUGAAAUGCUGUACAAGUAUCGUACACAAAACUGCUUGGCAAAAUGAUUAUAUACAAUUUAAUUAUAUUGAAGAAGAUAAUCAAACAAGAAAAAUGAAAUGGUAAUCAAGAGUAAAGUAAAAUUAAAGAGUAUUAAUUGAUUAAUAUACUUACGUUUGGAGGAAGAAAUCGAAGCCUGUCAAAGCCCAGCAUAUAGUUGUUAAGAUCCAGCAGACAAAAAUUAUUCUGGAAUAAAAGUAGAAAAAAUAAGAGAGGGAGGAAAAGUCUGUAAUGUAAGAUAUAAGUUAUGUAAUUAAUGAGAUUAAGCUUGAAAAUUACGUGAUAAAUCCAGGGUGCCAAUGCAACAGAAGCAGAACUGAGCCAAAGCACCAAUCCAUUAGUCUAACCAAGUUAAUUAGUUUUAGUUGAAUGUUUGUCAGAAUCCACCAGAUGAUUAAUAAAGAGCACUAAACUUCAAAACAAGAGAUAAAACUUGGGAUAUAAAAUUUAAGCCAAAAAACAUGGUAUAAAAUUUACCUAAGGAAGUCAACAAGAGCACCAAGUUGAUGGUCACAACCACAAGAUGCAAUAUGUGCGAAGUAUGAAUUGCGAGAUCAAUUGCACGGCCACUCUUUUGAACAAUAUCUCGAAUAGCUUGUGCUUCCCUUGCAAGAAGAUGGGUUAUGGUAUAAAAGCGCACAGAGGUAGCUGGAUCAUAUGGGCGUAAAAGAUGCUGCAUUUCUAUCAUUGCUAUAAUUACUUUGUGAAUCUUUCGGUGGGUGUCUUUGCCUACCUCCACAAUCGUCCGCAUAAAUUUAUUGGUUCUGUAGAAGGCGCUCUCAUUGGCAGCCAGGACCAGACUAGUGGCAAUUAUGGCCAAUAAUGUGAAGAGGAUGAUGAUCAAGAACAUCAACAAAUAGUGAUGAUUCAAAUAGUCUUUAACGUGGGAAGAGUCGCUUCUCCUCAAAAUUUUCCAGGUGAAAACAAUUCCAAAUCCCAACCCACAUAACAGCCACACACCAGCAAUUGCAUAAGAAUGCACUCCUGUAAAUACCGCAGAAGCCAAGUAAUGUUUGUCAGUAACAUUAUAGCCUCCAUUAUAAUUCUUGAAGCCACGCAGAGGAUCAGGUCUCUUGAAGCUUUGAUCUUGAUCAGGGGACCCAAAAACCAUCACCUUAUUAGGUGAAAACACAGAGGUUAAGAGCAAGAAGAACACAUAUGGAGCCAAUAUAGACAUGACAGAUCAAGCUGGUAGCUAGCUAGCUAGCUAGCUUUGUUCCUUGGCUAAAAAUAAUGAAAAGGGUUUGGUUGAUAUUGCCUUGAAAAUUAUCAAAUGAUAAACUUUUGGGAAAGUGAUGAAAAGAUUGUUGGUAUGACUUACUGAGUAAGGUAGGAAUAGCUUGAGGCUUCGGAGAUUUUUUUUUUUUUUUAAAUCUGAGAAAAAGCAAAAAAUUUAGAGAGAAUGAGACUCACGGGGCGAAAUUUCUGGUAACCCGUAACUGGAAG